AAAAAGAGAACUCAAAAUCCCAAGGAACACAUCCAGAACAUACUGCAGGAUGGUGGCAGUUUCAUGUUUUAUGGAUGUAUAAAAUAAAAUAUCACCAUCCAGUAUAACAUAAUGUAUUAACAUUUGCCACUAGGAUAUUAACAUCUAGUUCAUUGUAAUCUUUUUCUAUUUGGGAUUAAAAACACAGAAUAUUGCUUAUGCCACCAAGCUCAAUUUAAAGAGCAUGCUGUAUAUGAGCCAGCUGAUACUUUAAUAUUUCCUCUGCUUACUCUUGAAGGCAAUGUCUCAGAUUCUGUACUAAGCUGUCUGUCUGGAAAUACUUCUGCUGUGGACCUCAGUGCCUCAAAUACUGAUACACUGGAAUCAGUGUACCAGUCCUGGCUGGGUGGUCCUGUGUCUGCAGCAAGAAUGUGUGCAUGUGCCAGAGAGGCGGUACGGAAAAGGAAAGGAUGUCAAGAUCAUCAGCUAGUGUGGUUGGAGCAUACCAGCCUGUGCAGUCAGUGGGAUUUGUGUGAAUGACAAUCCACCUGCAAGAUACCUGGUCACCAAUGGAGGGGUUUACAAAGAGAGAACACAGAAAGAACAUAAAAGACGAUGUCAAGUCUCUAAGACGUGCAUCUUGAAGUGGAUUUUCAGGACCUGUAAGUGCCAUUCUGCCACCUGACUGAGUCGUUGACCCAAAAUAUUCACUGACUUCUCUGGAAAAUACUUAUCCUGGUACAUACAAAAUUCUACAAUUUCUGA
RNAcentral lists this long non-coding RNA (744 nucleotides) under Anser brachyrhynchus (Pink-footed goose). RNAcentral describes it as "lncRNA (ENSABRG00000004674.1)". The record is from RNAcentral. Lineage: Eukaryota; Metazoa; Chordata; Aves; Anseriformes; Anatidae.